RNAcentral lists this ribosomal RNA (525 nucleotides) under Homola orientalis. Its description in RNAcentral is "partial large subunit ribosomal RNA". It matches the Rfam family "Bacterial large subunit ribosomal RNA", at positions 1819 to 2605 of the family's 2925-position model. Lineage: Eukaryota; Metazoa; Arthropoda; Malacostraca; Decapoda; Homolidae. The record is from RNAcentral.
GUCUAUUUGGUAGAGAUAUAAAUAGUCUGGCCUGCCCACUGAAAUAAUUAAAGGGCCGCGGUAUUUUAACCGUGCAAAGGUAGCAUAAUCACUAGUCUUUUAAAUGGAGACUUGAAUGAAUGGUUGAACAAAUAAAUAGCUGUCUUUUUUUUAAAAUUUGAAUUUAACUUUUAAGUGAAAAGGCUUAAAUAUUUCAGGGGGACGAUAAGACCCUAUAAAUCUUAUAUAUAAAUGUUUAAUUUUUAUUGAUAAAUUGUCUUAUAAUUUAAAUUAAAUAAUAUAUUGUAUUGGGGCGAUAAAAGUAUAAUUAAUAUAACUGCUUAUUUUUAAAUACUAAUAUUUUUGAUUAUUAUUAAUGAUCCUUUAAAAGAUUUGAAGAUUAAGUUACUUUAGGGAUAACAGCGUUAUUUUUUUUGAGAGUUCUUAUCGAAAAAAAAGUUUGCGACCUCGAUGUUGAAUUAAAAUUUCUUUAUGGUGUAGUCUUUAUAAGAGAAGGUCUGUUCGACCUUUAAAAUUUACAUGAUU